RNAcentral lists this ribosomal RNA (478 nucleotides) under uncultured bacterium. Its description in RNAcentral is "bacterial SSU rRNA". It matches the Rfam family "Bacterial small subunit ribosomal RNA", at positions 24 to 518 of the family's 1533-position model. The record is from RNAcentral.
UCAGGAUGAACGCUGGCGGCGUGCAUAACACAUCAAGUCGAACGGCGAGAUACCUCGGGUAUUGAGCAGUGGCGGACGGGUGAGUAACGCGUGAGCAACCUGCCGUAUAGUGGGGGAUAACACAGGGAAACUUGUGCUAAUACCGCAUAAAGCAUGGGGAUCGCAUGGUUUUCAUGCCAAAGAUUUAUUGCUGUACGAUGGGCUCGCGUAUGAUUAGACAGUUGGCGGGGUAACGGCCCACCAAAUCAACGAUCAUUAGCCGAACUGAGAGGUUGAACGGCCACAUUGGAACUGAGAGACGGUCCAGACUCCUACGGGAGGCAGCAGUGGGGAAUAUUGGGCAAUGGGCGGAAGCCUGAACCCCAGCGACGCCGCGUGAGGGAAGAAGGUCUUCGGAUUGUAAACCUCUUUCAGCAGGGAAGAAGGAAGUGACGGUACCUGCAGAAGAAGUCACGGCUAACUACGUGCCAGCCGCCGC